AAGGAGACACACUGGUUUCUGAGAAGGGUGGCCAGGGCUGAGGGCCCAGCAGUCACUGGGCUCAUGUGACCCUCUGCUCUUAUGAAAGGGAACUGAGGAAUUCUAAAGUCGAGAAACAGUCAGGACAAAUGUCAGCCAAUGUAAGGUACUUGCCUACCCAUGGUUAAUGUGGCCAGGAACCAGCCACGUCCCUGGGUCCUGCCUUCCAGUAGCACAUCCACACAUCCACUGCCACGCUUGUGGGCAGGGGACCCGGGGAAUGGAGAGAGCCCAGUGCUGGAAGAUUUCACAGGCCAUCACCUGAGACCCAGACUCAUGGCCCCAACAUCCUUCCUGUAAGAUUCUCUGCAGCCAACCUCUGCAAAGGGGCAGUGAGGGCAUGGGUGACCUCUGUGCCUUCCCCCUCUGGAAAUGUCCCUACUUACCCCAGGAUUCACUCACUCCCAACUUCCACCCUUUGUAUCUUAAUGCUACACAGAUCCUGCCAGCAUUAGAAGGGCAUGUCCUUUUCUCUUAAAAUUAGCCUAAUUUUGAGUAUUUCAGGAAAACUAAAAAGCCAGAGUGAAAACCUAGAUUUAGAUUAGUUAAAACUGAGCAGACCCUCCUUGAGAGUCACUUAACAGUGACCAUGCAGGAGCCAGCCCCGUGGCCUGUAACCAAAAGGACACACCAAGCUAUUAGAUAAGAAGCUCCUUAAAAUUUAAUUGACUGCAUGUAUUACAUUCAGUAUCCCGUGGGUUUCUUGUGGACGGAGGACAGGCAUAAAUACGAACAGCUCUGCACCUUCUUCCCAGGCUGACGCAGAUUCGACACAGGCAGCGAGGGACACAGGCACACUUUCAUAUUUACAUCUCCUUUACUUUACAGAUCAGUGGCAGAAAUAUUUACAGAAAAUACAAUAGGAAAAAGAUCCCAUCUUGGCAAUAUACCGAAAUUCAUACAAAUUGUAAAUAUGGUUUCGAGCAAAUAAUGAUACUUAAUUUUUAGCCACAGCUGCAAAGCCCUUCAGAGGAAGAUGCCUUGGUCACUGUGGGGACAAAGAACUUGAUUUGCUUCAACAAAUAGGUAUUGGGCGCCUACUGUAUGCAAGGCACUGUGGAAUCCCAAAUUACACAUUUUCCCUCAUCACUAACAAACCUGUCUGAAGAACGAGGGUGGCUAUUCUGAGAAAACCCCACACAGUGCAUGGCUCUGCCAGCAGCAAGACCAGUGACUCCACUGUCCAGGUGGACCCUCAGGAAGAGGGGAUGUCAGGGAGUGCUGGGAACAGACCAGUGGAUGCCAAUGGUCACUGUUAACACAGAAGGUCCGGCCUGAACAGGCUUUAAAUAAUAAGGGACAACUGUUGCCAGGAGAGUGUCAAAUGACCUCCAAGACAGCUGUCACUGUCUACCCAGCUGUGCCCAAGGCUGAUGCUGUGUGUGUGUGUGUGUGUGUGUGUGUGUGUGUGUGUGUGUGUGUGUGUGUGUUGCUCCACUUUUCAACAGGAAUACACCCUGGAAAACUCAUCACUGUAGAGGUCAGUCUGCAGAACCUGAUUCUUCCCUAGCUCAGACAGGAAGCUGUUCUUCCAUGCUGUCCUACUACCUGUAAGCCAGACACCAACAGGGCCAGCCAAAGUGUAAGUAUUUUUAUAGGUAAGACCAGAGAUGGAGUUACCCUAAAAUCAGGAAGCUGGAAGAGGGAGAUGCUCAUGUAUACAUGUGCAUGGCACAUGCAUCUGUAGCUGGGCGAGGGGCUGCCCUACUACUAUAAUUAUUCUUUUCUAGGGGCCAAAGUCCAGGUCUUAAGAGGAAACUCUAGACAAAUGAGGAAGGUGGCUGCCAGGUUCAAAGAGGCUACGAGUCCCGUUUCCUGUGCUCCCAGUCAAAGGAGCAACCCCCUUCCCAACCCAGCCAGCUUCAGAAGUGAAAAGGAGAGGCCACCAGCCUAAACAACCUUAAGAAAUGUUUUCUCUUUGAGAUUGCCUGGGCAUCCAAGUAGAGCAACUGAACAGCUUAAGCCACAGUCCAGACUGGUUCCAGUGUUUCCCCAAGUGUCUGAACCGAGGCGGCAAAUGUACCAAGUGAAUGACUAAGACUAUUGUAGCAGGAGUGUGACGUGUGAGGUCCAUUCAUCAGGAAGCUGGCACUCCUCCAGCCAGUGGCUUCACCACGUGCUUCUUCUGGUGAUUCAACAGUGAGUUCUUGGGAGUGAUUCCUUUAUUUUUCACAAAUGUCUUGCUUUGAUGUCAGAGCCCAUACUGCAGUCCACUGCCCUGGACAAACUGUGCUCUAAGAACUGCAGUUUUUCAGUCCGACCUCCUGGAAAAGGGCAGUAUAAAACUCUGGCUCCAACUGCUUAUUCCGGUACUUGUUGACAAUGUCAGUGAUUUUCUGUUUCCGACGGACAUGUGGUGGACUGUAGGAAUCACUCUCCAGUCUCUUUCUUCUACAAAUGUUGAUUACAGUCUGCCGCACCAGAAAGCCUUGAAAACAGAUAAGAACGCCUGUCAGUGAGCUCACAGGCGAGCGGUGUCAGGGAACCCAUUUUCGGAAUCCCGCAACCCUCUUUCACUGCAAUCCCAUGAUUCCCACCUCAAAGACAAACAGGGCACUGAGACGAAACUGCUGAGAGACAUCAGCACAGGGCCAGAGUCAAACCUGCUCGUCCACAGCCCCUUGCCCUCUGUGCCAGAACAGCCAUUUUCUCUUCAGUUAGUUCACUCAGUGAAGGCCCACUGGUAUCACCAGAUUAAAGCUUAAACAAUGACAAUA
This is a non-coding RNA of Peromyscus maniculatus bairdii (prairie deer mouse), 2756 nucleotides long. NCBI's taxonomy places the organism in Eukaryota, Metazoa, Chordata, Mammalia, Rodentia, Cricetidae. The record is from RefSeq and is a predicted model, not a curated record.